RNAcentral lists this ribosomal RNA (270 nucleotides) under uncultured archaeon. RNAcentral's name for it is "partial 16S ribosomal RNA". It matches the Rfam family "Archaeal small subunit ribosomal RNA", at positions 477 to 747 of the family's 1478-position model. The record is from RNAcentral.
CAGCACCUCAAGUGGUCAGGAUGAUUGUUGGGCCUAAAGCAUCCGUAGCCUGCUUUGUUAGUUUUCGGUUAAAUCCAUAUGCUCAACGUAUGGGCCGCCGGGAAUACUGCAAAGCUAGGGAGUGGGAGAGGUAGACGGUACUCGGUAGGAAGGGGUAAAAUCCUUUGAUCUAUUGAUGACCACCUGUGGCGAAGGCGGUCUACCAGAACACGUCCGACGGUGAGGGAUGAAAGCUGGGGGAGCAAACCGGAUUAGAUACCCGAGUAGUCC